RNAcentral lists this ribosomal RNA (480 nucleotides) under uncultured bacterium. RNAcentral describes it as "bacterial SSU rRNA". It matches the Rfam family "Bacterial small subunit ribosomal RNA", at positions 328 to 793 of the family's 1533-position model. The record is from RNAcentral.
CUCUGUGACUCCUACGGGAGGCAGCAGUGAGGGAAUAUUGGUCAAUGGAGGAAACUCUGAACCAGCCAAGUCGCGUGAAGGAAGAAUGUCCUAAGGAUUGUAAACUUCUUAGCGAGCGAGUAAGGACUUCCACGCGUUGGGAGUUUGAAAGUGGCUCGAGAAUAAGUAUCGGCUAACUCCGUGCCAGCAGCCGCGGUAAUACGGAGGAUACGAGCGUUAUCCGGAUUUAUUGGGUUUAAAGGGUGCGCAGGUGGUCUUUGCAAAGUCAGUGGUGAAAAAGCUGAGGCUCAAACCUCAGCCUUGCCGUUUGAAAAACUGCAAAGACUUGAGAGUACAUGAUGUGGGCGGAAUGCGUAGUGUAGCGGUGAAAAUGCAUAGAUAUUACGCAGAACUUCCGAUUGCGAAAGGCAGCUCACAAAGGUAUAUCUGACACUGAGGCACGAAAGCGUGGGGAGCGAACAGGAUUAGAUACCCUGGUAG